CAGAGGGUGCAAGCGUUAAUCGGAAUUACUGGGCGUAAAGCGUGCGUAGUCGGUUAUUUAAGUCGGGUGUGAAAGCCCCGGGCUCAACCUGGGAAUUGCAUUCGAUACUGGAUAGCUAGAGUUCGGCAGAGGGAAGCGGAAUUUCCGGUGUAGCGGUGAAAUGCGUAGAUAUCGGAAGGAACAUCAGUGGCGAAAGCGGCUUCCUGGACCAGAACUGACGAUCAGGCACGAAAGCGUGGGGAGCAAACAGGAUUAGAUACCCUGGUAGUCCACGCCAUAAACGAUGACAACUAGACGUUGGGAGGGUAAGCCUCACAGUGUCGCAGCCAACGCGUUAAGUUGUCCGCCUGGGGAGUACGGCCGCAAGGUUG
RNAcentral lists this ribosomal RNA (371 nucleotides) under uncultured organism. Its description in RNAcentral is "bacterial SSU rRNA". It matches the Rfam family "Bacterial small subunit ribosomal RNA", at positions 526 to 896 of the family's 1533-position model. The record is from RNAcentral.